GGUGUUUGUUUCAAAUUUUAGUGGGAUUUUAUUGACAAAUAGAAAUUGAACCAUAAGAUUUCAAAUUCAUUAUUGUCAAUCUCCUUUGGUGAAUUAGUUAGUUGGUGGGGCAAUAGCUUACCAAGGCGAUGAUCAGUAGCUGGUCCGAGAGGAUGAUCAACCACACUAGGACUGAGACAUGACCUAGACUCCUACGGGAG
Lupinus angustifolius (narrow-leaved blue lupine) is the source of this 200-nucleotide ribosomal RNA. It matches the Rfam family "Bacterial small subunit ribosomal RNA", at positions 105 to 347 of the family's 1533-position model. The record is from Rfam. NCBI's taxonomy places the organism in Eukaryota, Viridiplantae, Streptophyta, Magnoliopsida, Fabales, Fabaceae.